UACGUAGGGAGCGAGCGUUGUCCGGAAUUACUGGGCGUAAAGGGCGCGUAGGCGGCCCGUUAAGUCAGGUGUGAAAUACCACGGCUCAACCGUGGGGCUGCAUCUGAAACUGGCGGGCUUGAGGGCAGGAGAGGAGAGCGGAAUUCCUAGUGUAGCGGUGGAAUGCGUAGAUAUUAGGAGGAACACCAGUGGCGAAGGCGGCUCUCUGGACUGCUACUGACGCUGAGGCGCGAAAGCCAGGGGAGCAAAC
Molecule: ribosomal RNA, 250 nt
Filed under: uncultured bacterium
Lineage: Bacteria
Description: partial 16S ribosomal RNA
Rfam family: Bacterial small subunit ribosomal RNA
Source: RNAcentral